This is a long non-coding RNA of Malaya genurostris, 843 nucleotides long. RefSeq lists it as uncharacterized. The record is from RefSeq and is a predicted model, not a curated record. The transcript has 3 exons. NCBI's taxonomy places the organism in Eukaryota, Metazoa, Arthropoda, Insecta, Diptera, Culicidae.
AUAAUCAGAGUGGCGACAGCUGUUCGUUUGGAAUGACAGCUCCCAGUUCCAAACUAGCAAACGACCUGUCAAUUCAAUGUAAAACUAAUGGAAUGUUUCGAAUUGUUGCCAUAAUUACGGAUGAGAUGUCGUCACUCUGGUUAUAGGCACUCUAAUUUACAUCACUCAGUUUUGCACUGAAGAAAACCGGCUACAAUGAUUAAUCACCGAAUUUCGGUUGUCUAAAAGUUGUUUACUGAGAUUUCGCAUCAUUGUGCCAAUUCUCCAUACAAAUUUGGAAUGUUAUUAGUUUAGUUAUUAGAUUUCAAUUGAAACACAAUUGACCGAAUCAAGUGUUUCGCACAUACAUUUGUGCUGUUCUUAUUUCCAUUAGAAAGUGAAGUGUUCAACACAUGUAGUUUGAUGCAAUGGCAAAACACAUCCCAUCCUAAAGAAAUGUGAUGUCGACGACACGACCAGACACUUCGAAGAAAAAUCAGCAAUAAAAUUGUCCGUUAACGAUUUACCGCCAGUUACCACAAAAAUAGCGACCCCUUGUAAAUGAUAAAAAUAAUCUUCUCGAGCAACACUGUUUUCGUUGCUACGAACUAGUUACCUAGGAUCCACAGAAUAAUAUAUUAUUAAACAAGCAUUUUGGAAAAUUUGUGGAAUUCCUGAUAGCGACUCAUGGAUGUAGAGAUGCAACAGUCAUUAUCACAAAGAAGUGCUCCCAAAGUUGAACAUGAACUACAAAUACAAAAUCAAAGCUCUGGAAACGUAACUAAAAGAAUAUUAUUUCUGGCGGAAGAAAAAAAAACUGGUGAUAAAGAUGACGCUCGAAUUUUCGAAAUAGAUUGCAAUGAA